This 1152-nucleotide long non-coding RNA is filed under the name Homo sapiens (human). RNAcentral describes it as "HSALNT0296336". The record is from RNAcentral. Lineage: Eukaryota; Metazoa; Chordata; Mammalia; Primates; Hominidae.
AUUAUGACUAGAGGGAUAGUGUGAUUUUGUCAGUGAAAAUUUUGAAAAAGGUAAACAGGUAACAACCCUGCCUGUAAUAUGUCAAUGAUUUUGAGUCUAUCCCUGCCGUUAUUGGAGGGUCUGAAAGUGGCACCUUUGGACAACCAAGAUAUUUUAUGAGUCCAAGGGGUAGGACUUCCCAGGGUCCGCAGAAGAAAUGCUCAAGCGUCAGGUGGCCACCAGAGACCUGCUGCCGGUGGCCAAGGGUAUCAUCCCGGGCCAAGGCUCCAGGUUGGGACGCGGAGACCCACGACCCUCCUUGGGAUCCCGGGCAUCCUGGAGGAAAGGUGAGGGCGCAUCACCCCCUGGCGGCAGCCGGGCAGACUCCAACCGGCCGAGGUGAUGCUGCGCUCAGGGCCGUCUCUUCUUCCUCUAGCGAAGGCAAGCGGUGCUGCUGCAGAGACAUUUCGCUCGCGCCGGGGCCAGCUCUGCAUUCUCGCUUCGUUUCUCGGACAACAGCCGCUUUAGUGCUAAGAGCAGCACCGUGCCGCCCGCCCAUCCCGACCCCAAAGCCAACUAAUCCUCCCACACCCGCUUUCUGCAGGCGGCGGGGUUUUCCAGCUGAGAGGCCGUGAGCGCCUAGAGUUGGGUGACCACAGGGAGAGUCCUUCCUGAGGGACAAGGGCCACCCGCGCCGCCCGCGCCGCCAGAGCCGGUGAGUUCCUGAACCUGAGAGAACCUAGGACGCACCUGGGCAGGUGCCUGGGUGGCGGCCCUUGAGAGUCAACAUAAGUCAACGAGGCCAAGACCGAACCAGCCGGCCUGAAAGUGCGCGAUGUCCUUCCUGUCCUGAGUGAGUGGGCAUUAUCCAAUCUGUUGAGGGCUUGACUAGAACAAAAAGAAAGAGGAAAGGCCAAUUCUCUCUCUUGAGCUGAGACGUCGUCUCCUUCUGCUCACUGCCCAUGGUCUGGGGCUUCCUGCUCCUUAGCCUUAGGAGUGCAGGACUUAUAGCCGUGUCUUCACCUUCCCGCAGUCGCCUCCAUUCCUCGGGCCUUUGGACUAGGACUGAAUUAUACCACCAGCUUUCCUGAUUCUCUAGCUUGCAGAUGGCAGAUGGUGGGACUUCUUAGCUUCCAUAAUCUCAUGAGCGAUAAUAAACACACACACACUUUU